GAUGAACGCUAGCGACAGGCUUAACACAUGCAAGUCGAGGGGUAACAGGGUAGCAAUACCGCUGACGACCGGCGCACGGGUGAGUAACGCGUAUGCAACCUGCCUAUAACUGUGGAAUAGCUCCCUGAAAGGGGAAUUAACACCGCAUAACACUAUUGAUUCGCAUGGAUUGGUAGUUAAAUGUAGCGAUACAGGUUAUAGAUGGGCAUGCGUGACAUUAGCUAGUUGGUGAGGUAACGGCUCACCAAGGCUACGAUGUCUAGGGGUUCUGAGAGGAAGGUCCCCCAACUGGUACUGAGACACGGACCAGACUCCUACGGGAGCAGCAGUGAGGAAUAUUGGCAAUGGGCGCAAGCCUGAACCAGCCAUGUCGCGUGCAGGAAGACUGCCCUAGUGGGUUGUAAACUGUCUUUUAUAGUAGAAGAAACACAUCUACGCGUAGAUGUCUGCCAGUAUACUAUGAAUAGC
This 468-nucleotide ribosomal RNA is filed under the name uncultured bacterium. RNAcentral describes it as "bacterial SSU rRNA". It matches the Rfam family "Bacterial small subunit ribosomal RNA", at positions 28 to 491 of the family's 1533-position model. The record is from RNAcentral.